This is a long non-coding RNA of Chelonia mydas (Green sea turtle), 455 nucleotides long. RefSeq lists it as uncharacterized. The record is from RefSeq and is a predicted model, not a curated record. The transcript is spliced from 3 exons. NCBI's taxonomy places the organism in Eukaryota, Metazoa, Chordata, Testudines, Cheloniidae.
CGUGGUCAAAGCGACGUGGACCAUAUCACCCGGGGUUGUGCUGGAAUCUGACCAUCCUUUCUACAGCGGACGGCUCAAUGUGUCCUUCCAGGAUCUGCUCCAGAAAGGGGAGGUCACGCUGACCCUGUCGGAGCUGGAGAAGCGGGACUCUGGUCUCUAUCAGUGUCAGAUCAGCAUCCACCAGGGAGAGAGCGGGACAGGAGCGGGCACCGAGCUGCAGGUGACGGGGAGAAACCAGAGUGACACAGGUAAAGAAUCUGCCCACGUAGGGUGCUGCGCCCGGGAGCUCCUGUACCAGGUCGCCAUCGCCCUGGGGCUCCUUCUCAUCCUCGGCCUGGCGGCCACCCUCCUCCUGAAGAGACACCGAGGGUCACGGCAGCCGGGGGGCCGAGGAGAGCGAGAGCCUGCACUACGCAGAGAUUAAAUUCCAGACUCCAGGACGCAGGGAACACACC